RNAcentral lists this ribosomal RNA (481 nucleotides) under uncultured microorganism. RNAcentral's name for it is "bacterial SSU rRNA". It matches the Rfam family "Bacterial small subunit ribosomal RNA", at positions 9 to 487 of the family's 1533-position model. The record is from RNAcentral.
GAGUUUGAUCGUGGCUCAGGAUGAACGCUGGCGGCGUGCUUAACACAUGCAAGUCGAACGGAACUUGUAAGUGGAAGUCUUUCGGAUGGAAACUUACUUGUUUAGUGGCGGACGGGUGAGUAACGCGUGGGUAACCUGCCUUACACAGGGGGGAUAACAGCCGGAAACGGCUGCUAAUACCGCAUAAGCGCACAGCUUCGCAUGGAGUGGUGUGAAAAGAUUUUAUCGGUGUAAGAUGGACCCGCGUCUGAUUAGCUAGUUGGUGGGGUAACGGCCUACCAAGGCAACGAUCAGUAGCCGGCUUGAGAGAGUGAACGGCCACAUUGGGACUGAGACACAGCCCAAACUCCUACGGGAGGCAGCAGUGGGGAAUAUUGCACAAUGGGCGAAAGCCUGAUGCAGCGACGUCGCGUGAGUGAAGAGUAUUUCGGUAUGUAAAGCUCUAUCAGCAGGGACGAAUAAAUGACGGUACCUGACUAAG